GCUUAACGCGAAGAACCUUACCCACCUUUGACAUGCACGGAAUUUGCCAGAGAUGGCUUAGUGCUCGAAAGAGAGCCGUAACACAGGUGCUGCAUGGCUGCCGUCAGCUCGUGUCGUGAGAUGUUGGGUUAAGUCCCGCAACGAGCGCAACCCUUGUCAUUAGUUGCUACGAAAGGGCACUCUAAUGAGACUGCCGGUGACAAACCGGAGGAAGGUGGGGAUGACGUCAAGUCCUCAUGGCCCUUAUAGGUGGGGCUACACACGUCAUACAAUGGCUGGUACAAAGGGUUGCCAACCCGGCGAGGGGGUAGCCAAUCCCAUAAAGCCAGUCGUAGUCCGGAUCGCAGUCUGCAACUCGACUGCGUGAAGUCGGAAUCGCUAGUAAUCGUGGAUCAGCAUGUCACGGUGAAUACGUU
RNAcentral lists this ribosomal RNA (416 nucleotides) under uncultured bacterium. RNAcentral's name for it is "bacterial SSU rRNA". It matches the Rfam family "Bacterial small subunit ribosomal RNA", at positions 954 to 1372 of the family's 1533-position model. The record is from RNAcentral.